ACAUUUAAGUAUCUCUACAGUCAUAUGCAUUAAGUUUAUCAUUAAAAAAGGUGGCCAUCUUUUAUAAAAUUUAAAUUGAAACAUGGGGAAACAGUAUAAAAAUCAAGAAAUUUGUAUGGCACAGCUAUUUCUAGGAUGAAUUUCUCUAAGAGGGAAUUUUUAAAUUGAGAGACUUCAGGAAGGCAUAAACCUAAGAAUACAUCUGCACAAACAAAAUACUUUGUUAGGAAUGAUUGAACUUCCCUUUGUUGGAUGAAUUGUAUACAGUUGAUUAAAUAUUCUUAGGUAGAGCACUGUAAAGAAGCAAACAAUGAGCAGAUGAUCUAAGUAGACAUUUCUCCAAAGAAGAUAUUCAGAUGGCCAAAAGGCACAUGAAAAGAUGCUCGACAUCACUAUUUAUAAGAGAAACACAAAUCAAAACUACAAUGAAAUAUCACCUCAACCAGUCAGAAUGGCCAUCAUCAAAAAGUCUACAAAUAGGAGUUCCCAUUGUGGCUCAGUGGUUAACAAACCCGACUAGUAUGCAUAAGGACACAGGUUUGAUCCCUGGUCUUGCUCAGUGGUUUAAGGAUCUGGCAUUGCUGUGGCUGUGGAGUAGGCUGGUGGCUAGAGUUCCCAUCUGACCCAUAGCCUGUGAACCGCCAUAUGCCACGGGUGCAGUCCUAAAAAGACAAAAGAGACAAAAAGAUCUACAAAUAAUAAAUGCUGGAGAGGAUGUGGAGAAAUGGGAACCCUCCUAUGGUCUUACUGGGAAUGUAAAUUAGUACUGGAGAACAAUACAGAGGUUCCUUGAGAGAUUAAAAAUAGAACUAAGAUGAUACUGCAAUUCCACUCCUGGGCAUACAUCCAAAGAAAAUCAAAAUUUUAAAUGAAACAUCCACCUUGAUGUUCACUUCAGCACUAUUUACAAAGCCAAGACAUGGGAGCAACCUAAACGUCCAUCAACAGAGGAAUGGAUAAAGAAGAUGGGGCACAUGUAUACAGUGGACUAUCACUCAGCCAUAAGAAGAAUGAAGAGAAUGAACCAUGUACAGACCUAGAUAUGAUCAUACUCAGUGAAAUAAGCUGGAAAGAGAAAGAUAAAUAUCACAUACCACUUAUAUUUGGAAUCUAAUUUUGGAAGUGAUACAAAUGAACUUCUUUACAAAACAGAAACAGACUCACCAUUUUGAAAACAGACAUAUGGUUACCAAAGGGGAAGAAAGGUGAAUGGGAAGGGAUAAAUUAGGAGUUUGGGACUGACAAUACACACUACUAGGUAGGAAAUAGAUAAUCAGCAAGGACCUACUGUACAGCACAUGGAACUCCACUCAUUAUAUUGUAAUAAUCCCUAUGGGAAAAAAAAACUAAAAAAGAGUGGAUAUCUGUAUACGUAUAACUGAAUCACUGUGCUGUACACCUGAAGCUAACACAACAUUGUAAAUCAAUUACAUUCCAUUAUACAAUAAAAAUUCAAUAAAAAUAGAAUAUGUAAUGGGUAUGAUGUAGGACUCGGGUUCUUUGAUAAAGGAAGGUCAAAGCCUUUUAACCAGUGUGAUAAUGAAUGUGUUUGCAUCCCUGAAUGGAUUAACUUCAGUCCUACAUUGUUUUGUUCCACCAUUUUCCAGUUCUGAAACCCUUUUUGUGUGCUGCUUAUACCUUUGUGAUUUUUUUCAAAUCAUGGUGUUAGUAAUAGAUUUUUAUCAGUUGAUUUAUUUAGAAUCCUAGCUUCUGAUCUGUGAUUUCAAAUACUGUCUAUGGCUGUGUGAUCAGUCUCAUAAAAUUGAAUCCUCCCAAUCUGUAUUCUCUUUGAUCCUGUAUUAAGGUCGUUGCAUUGUCUCUACACAGUUGCUUUCCUCUUUGUUAUCUGUUUAAGGUAAUGAAGGUUCAACAUCUUUCUUUCCUAAAAUUGAGAAUAUACCAAAAAACAGACUUUGCAAGGCCAAGGAACUCCUGGGUCACACCAUUACAUGUCUCCUAGAAGCAGGAGCUCAGGCCCAGCUCAGGCCUUGAUCACAUAAUACUUGUCUGCAACUGUAUGUUAAACUGAGCACAGCCCUGUGGGGCCCCUGGCACAAAAGCCUUUGUGUAUACAUUUCUAUUUUUAGGAAAUAGGCCUCAUUUAGCCUCCAGGACCUUCUCUGUGCUCCAAAGGGCAGCUUGAAACAAUUACUAAUCAGGGAAGGGAGGGGAUGCAGAGACAGGGAGGAACCAGUCAAGAAACAAUAGAGCAUCCUUGGGGCAGGGUCCUGGUUCCUCCUCAAGGAAUAUACAUAACAGUAGCUUUAAAAUUUUUUAAAUUUUUUUCCUUUUUAGGGCUGCAACCAGGGCAUGUGGAAGUUCUCCUGCUAGGGGUCAAAUGAAUGGGAGCUGCAGCUGCCAGCCUUCACCACACCUGCAGCAAUGCAGAAAUCAAGCCUCAUCUUUGACCUACAUCGCAGCUCACAGCAAUGCUGGAUCCUUAAUCCACUGAGCAAGGCCAGGGAUUGAACCCACGCCUUCAUGGAUACUAGUUGGGCCCCUUACCUCUGAGCCACAAUAGGAACUCCUAUUAUCUUUGAGUUAUUCUGCAGAACUAAACCCCCCAGCGGAAGAAAAUUCUUAUGAAGCAUCCUUCAUUCCAGAAAGGAGGAGGACCACAAAAACCAGUCCUGGGUCCACUAAACACCAGGUUUGAAGAAGAUGCCAAGCUUGCAUCUACCCUGAUCCUUCAACAUGGACCUAUUUUCUACUCCCCAAAGUAUAAAACCACCUCCAUUCUCUUCCCAAAGAGAGAAGGGUAUUUAGGGCAUUAGCCUGCUGUGGCCUCCUUUGCCUGGCAAAGCAAUAAAGCUGUUUGUUUUGUUUGUCUGUCUGUUUGUUUCUCCUUCACUGCAAACUCUGUUUGCAGGUUUCUGCUUAGCACUGACGGACAGAGGUGGAGUUCUGGCAGCACUUGUUUCACAUUGUAUGUUUUAAUUCCAGUUAAGGCCAGAAGAUCCUGACAUAGAUGAGAGGAAUAAAUCAAAGGUAAUUAAAAUGUCAUUUAAAAUUACACAAAGGAUAUUUUUUUAAAAAAAUAUAAAUUCAGCUUAUUCAUUGUGAUUUUGUGUAUUCUCUGUUUUGAUAGCAGGUGUAACAUGACUCUGAUUUUAUAUUCUGCAAUUGUGACUUAUUUGAUUUUAAUGCUAAUAAUGGAUGCAGAAAAAUUCCAUGUGAUUCAAUCCUUGCAAUACUUUCUCAUCAUAAAAACUUAUUUAGUAAAGCUAUAGCAAACAAAAUAUGACUAUCAUUUUACUGCUAAAUGCUAUAUUGAGCUACAUCUAUGAUAAGACCUACUAUAUUUUGUAGUAUGAAUAUUUCAAUAUUAUUUAAAUAUUGAUCUGCAAAAUAAAAAAAAAAAUCACCCAGUAGCUUUCUCCAUGGUUGUAUGACUGAAAAUGAUAGUCUUAGAAGAAUUAUAUUGUAAUUUAGACAAAUAAAUGAUAUAAAACAUCACAAGGUUUUGGGUACUAGAAAUCCAACGUGUUUUCACUGAAAAACAACUUGUGAAAUAUAUUUUAAUAUUUUAUUCAUAGUUUCCCUUAUUCAAUGAAAACAUGAUUUGUUUAAAGGAUAUCUUUUCUAAAGAGAAAAAUGUUAAUACCACCUAG
RNAcentral lists this long non-coding RNA (3611 nucleotides) under Sus scrofa (pig). Its description in RNAcentral is "lncRNA (ENSSSCG00000053278.1)". The record is from RNAcentral. Lineage: Eukaryota; Metazoa; Chordata; Mammalia; Artiodactyla; Suidae.